Non-coding RNA from Sporisorium reilianum f. sp. reilianum, 121 nucleotides. Lineage: Eukaryota; Fungi; Basidiomycota; Ustilaginomycetes; Ustilaginales; Ustilaginaceae. The record is from the annotation of a GenBank genome assembly.
GGCCCUAUAGCUCAGCGGUAGAGCGUCGGCUUCCAGUUUCACCCUCCUAGGUUAGGAUUACAUAAGGAUUACGUAAUUUUCCGAUUUCCGAAGGUCGUCCGUUCGAAUCGGGCUGGGGUCA